CCCAGGUAUGGUGACAUGGUGCCGAAGACAAUAGCUGGGAAGAUAUUUGGUUCCAUUUGUUCUCUCAGCGGGGUCUUAGUCAUUGCUCUUCCAGUUCCAGUCAUUGUCUCCAAC
Molecule: regulatory RNA element, 114 nt
Organism: Ophiophagus hannah (king cobra)
Lineage: Eukaryota; Metazoa; Chordata; Lepidosauria; Squamata; Elapidae
Rfam family: Potassium channel RNA editing signal
About the family: This family represents a group of sequences related to the human potassium channel Kv1.1 hairpin element which directs the efficient modification of an adenosine to inosine by an adenosine deaminase acting on RNA (ADAR). The ADAR modification causes an isoleucine/valine recoding event which lies in the ion-conducting pore of the potassium channel. It is thought that this editing event targets the process of fast inactivation and allows a more rapid recovery from inactivation at negative potentials.
Source: Rfam